UUUUUAAUUAUAAGAGAAUUAUUUCAACCGUUGAUUGUUUUGGAUUUAAUCUGUGCCGUUGAUUUGUUUUUAGGUCAGAUCACAUUUCACUUUUGUAGUUCCUCCGUUCAUUUGUUUCGAAGCGCAGCCCUGAGCCUCCGACCCUCACCAACGUCGUCCCUCACCAUACUGUCGAAUUCCGACCAGCCACCGGCCCACCACCACACCAUACUCUCGUCUCUAACUCUCCAGCCUUCCUUCACCACACAACCACCACUCUCUCUCGCGAUCUCUCUCUCUCUAGGGCGAUUGUCUUUCACGGACAGGUCAGGUCACAGAACUGGGGAUCUCUCUCACGGUCUCACCACCACACCGAGUCUGAGUCUCACUCUCACCCCAAAUUAGGUUGUUUUUCUUGAAUCAUUUAUUCUCAAGCAGCUUUUAAAGGUUUAGCAUACAAGCGCUACAAGAUGGACGGAUCUAGUAGCCAAUCUAGUACACAUAUGGUCUCGGUAUUAGGAAAAC
Non-coding RNA from Malus domestica (apple), 504 nucleotides. The record is from RefSeq and is a predicted model, not a curated record. Lineage: Eukaryota; Viridiplantae; Streptophyta; Magnoliopsida; Rosales; Rosaceae.